CCAGAGAACUUAGCAGAGAUGCUUUGGUGGCCUUCGGGAACUCUGAGACAGGUGCUGCAUGGCUGUCGUCAGCUCGUGUUGUGAAAUGUUGGGUUAAGUCCCGCAACGAGCGCAACCCUUAUCCUUUGUUGCCAGCGGUUAGGCCGGGAACUCAAAGGAGACUGCCAGUGAUAAACUGGAGGAAGGUGGGGAUGACGUCAAGUCAUCAUGGCCCUUACGAGUAGGGCUACACACGUGCUACAAUGGCGCAUACAAAGAGAAGCGACCUCGCGAGAGCAAGCGGACCUCAUAAAGUGCGUCGUAGUCCGGAUUGGAGUCUGCAACCCGACUCCAUGAAGUCGGAAUCGCUAGUAAUCGUGGAUCAGAAUGCCACGGUGAAUACGUUCCCGGGCCUUGUACACACCGCCCGUCACACCAUGGGAGUGGGUUGCAAAAGAAGUAGGUAGCUUAACCUUCGGGAGGGCGCUUACCACUUUGUGAUUCAUGACUGGGGUGAAGUCGUAACAAGGUAAGCGUAGUGCU
This 522-nucleotide ribosomal RNA is filed under the name uncultured bacterium. RNAcentral describes it as "bacterial SSU rRNA". It matches the Rfam family "Bacterial small subunit ribosomal RNA", at positions 988 to 1509 of the family's 1533-position model. The record is from RNAcentral.